RNAcentral lists this ribosomal RNA (506 nucleotides) under uncultured bacterium. Its description in RNAcentral is "bacterial SSU rRNA". It matches the Rfam family "Bacterial small subunit ribosomal RNA", at positions 28 to 524 of the family's 1533-position model. The record is from RNAcentral.
GACGAACGCUGGCGGCGUGGAUUAGGCAUGCAAGUCGAACGGUAUCAUCCUUUCGGGGGUGAGAGAGUGGCGAACUGGUGAGUAACACGUAGGUUAUCUACCCUCAAGACGGGGACAACCCAGGGAAACUUGGGCUAAUACCGGAUGUGAGCAACUUUUAGUUGUUUGAAAGGUGGCGUAAGCUGUCGCUUGGGGAUGAGCCUGCGUCCUAUUAGUUAGUUGGUGAGGUAACGGCUCACCUAGGCAAUGAUAGGUAGGCGGCCUUAACGGGUGGUCGCCCACACUGGGAUUGAGAUACGGCCCAGACUCCUACGGGAGGCAGCAGUCGAGAAUAGUCUACAAUGGUCGGAAGACUGAUAGUGCGACGCCGCGUGAACGAUGAAUCCCUUCGGGGUGUAAAGUUCUUUUAUAUGUGAGCAGUGCUUCUUAUAUUAACAGUAUGGGGAGAGAGAUAUUAGCAUAUGAAUAAGCAAACGGCUAAACUCCGUGCCAGCAGCCGCGGUAAU